AUCGCAUGCUCCUCUGCUCUGAUGGGAACCAGUCAGACUGGACCGUGCAGCAGCGACCCCGGGUCCGGUUAUCCAGUAAGAGCAGCUUCAUGGGGCGGAUCUUCAUAUUCUUCUGGGGUGUUUUUCACACGUCUCGUCAAGUCUGUGAUGCAGUUACAGUGCCCCGGUCUCCAGUGAUGUCACCUCCCGGCAGUGAUGUCAUUCUCAGUCGCUCUUUCUCCUAUAAAGCGGGGGCUGAUCUCAGCAGAUUGAUGAUUACCUGGCAACACCCUGACAGCACAGGAGGCAUUCACAGCAGGAGCACAGGGGGGUAGAGGUAUUCACAGCAAGAGCACAGGGAGGUAGAGGUAUUCACAGCAAGAGCACAGGGGGGUAGAGGUAUUCACAGCAAGAGCACAGGGGGGUAGAGGUAUUCACAGCAAGAGCACAGGGGGGUAGAGGUAUUCACAGCAAGAGCACAGGGGGGUAGAGGUAUUCACAGCAAGAGCACAGGGGGGUAGAGGUAUUCACAGCAAGAGCACAGGGGGGUAGAGGUAUUCACAGCAAGAGCACAGGGGGGUAGAGGUAUUCACAGCAAGAGCACAGGGGGGUAGAGGUAUUCACAGCAAGAGCACAGGGGGGUAGAGGUAUUCACAGCAAGAGCACAGGGGGGUAGAGGUAUUCACAGCAAGAGCACAGGGGGGUAGAGGUAUUCACAGCAAGAGCACAGGGGGGUAGAGG
Molecule: long non-coding RNA, 720 nt
Organism: Polyodon spathula (Mississippi paddlefish)
Lineage: Eukaryota; Metazoa; Chordata; Actinopteri; Acipenseriformes; Polyodontidae
Exons: 3
Source: RefSeq, a predicted model, not a curated record